RNAcentral lists this long non-coding RNA (614 nucleotides) under Ananas comosus (pineapple). RNAcentral's name for it is "long non-coding RNA (ACOM_LNC003607)". The record is from RNAcentral. Lineage: Eukaryota; Viridiplantae; Streptophyta; Magnoliopsida; Poales; Bromeliaceae.
CUACACAAGUGUUCUUUUCUAAAAAAUGGUCGAACUCCGACCGACGGGCCCCUUAGGCUUCGUCUUGUUCGGGUUUAAAUAAGAACUGCUUAUUUCAGGAAUAGGUACAAGUUCAGGAAUAAGAGACAACUAGACCAAUUUUGUGUUUGGAUGAAAAUUAAGUUGUUCCCGGGAAUAAGAAAAAUACUGUUUGGAUAGAUAAAACGGAAUAAGAAGAAUAAUGGAUAGUUAUAAAUAAAAAAUAAUUAUAUUACCCUCUUAUUAUAUUUGGAUUUAAAUUUUUAAAUUUUAUAUUUAUAGUUUUAAAUUUAAAUUUUUUACUUUUAAAUUUUAAAAUUUGAAAUUUAAAUUUAAAAUUUAAAUCUUCAAAUUUAAAAAUUUUAAAAUUUUAAAUUUUAAAUUUUAAAUUUUAAAUUUAAGACGGAAUUAAAUUUGAAAGAUAUAAAAUAUCAAAUUUAAAAUUUAAAAAUUUAAAAUAUAAAAUUUAAAAUUUUAACUUUAAAAUUUAGAAUUUUAAAUUCUAAAUUUUAAUUUUCAGUUUACAAAUUUUAAAUUUUAAAAUUUAGAUUCUAUUUUAAAACAAAACUCUCUCUCUCUCUCUCUCUCUCUCUACA